CUGCCCUCUCCUUUGACACUUCAAUGCCCAUUCAACUAAAUUCACCUUUUCUCUUGGCAGCGAUGGAUCAAUGGCAGGGCUCCCCCAAANNNNNCAAACAUGACCACUCCAAAGGAAUAAACAUCAGAUUUCUCUGUGAGUUGUUGCCUGAUCAAGUACUCUGGAUCAAGAUAUCCAAAGCUUCCUUUUACUGCUGUGCUAACAUGUGACUGAUCAAUCUCAGGACCAGUCUUUGAAAGACCAAAAUCAGCAACCUUGGCCAUGAAAUUCUCAUCUAGUAGUAUGUUAGCAGAUUUGACAUCACGGUGAAUGAUUGCCUUUGCAGAGCCCGUAUGAAGGUAGUGAAGUCCUUUUGCAGCUCCAAUGCAUAUCUCAAGACGUUGUCUCCAACUUAAGCUGGG
RNAcentral lists this unclassified non-coding RNA (401 nucleotides) under Hevea brasiliensis (rubber tree). The record is from RNAcentral. Lineage: Eukaryota; Viridiplantae; Streptophyta; Magnoliopsida; Malpighiales; Euphorbiaceae.